GAUGAAGAACGCAGCGAAAUGCGAUAAGUAAUGUGAAUUGCAGAAUUCAGUGAAUCAUCAAAUCUUUGAACGCACAUUGCGCCCGCCAGUAUUCUGGCGGGCAUGCCUGUUCGAGCGUCAUUACAACCCUCAGGCCCCCGGGCCUGGCGUUGGGGAUCGGCGGAAGCCCCCUGCGGGCACAACGCCGUCCCCCAAAUACAGUGGCGGUCCCGCCGCAGCUUCCAUUGCGUAGUAGCUAACACCUCGCAACUGGAGAGCGGCGCGGCCACGCCGUAAAACACCCAACUUCUGAAUGUUGACCUCGAAUCAGGUAGGAAUACCCGCUGAACUUAAGCAUAUCAAUAAGCGGAGGA
This 353-nucleotide unclassified non-coding RNA is filed under the name soil metagenome. Its description in RNAcentral is "partial contains 5.8S ribosomal RNA, internal transcribed spacer 2, and large subunit ribosomal RNA". The stretch from base 1 to 120 matches the Rfam family "5.8S ribosomal RNA", at positions 35 to 154 of the family's 154-position model. The record is from RNAcentral.